UACGAAGGGUGCAAGCGUUACUCGGAAUUAUUGGGCGUAAAGCGCGCGCAGGUGGUUUCUUAAGUCUGAUGUGAAAGCCCACGGCUCAACCGUGGAGGGUCAUUGGAAACUGGGAGACUUGAGUGCAGAAGAGAAGAGUGGAAUUCCAUGUGUAGCGGUGAAAUGCGUAGAGAUAUGGAGGAACACCAGUGGCGAAGGCGACUCUUUGGUCUGUAACUGACGCUGAGGCGCGAAAGCGUGGGGAGCAAACAGG
Molecule: ribosomal RNA, 253 nt
Filed under: uncultured bacterium
Lineage: Bacteria
Description: partial 16S ribosomal RNA
Rfam family: Bacterial small subunit ribosomal RNA
Source: RNAcentral